CCCGCUGAACUUAAGCAUAUCAAUAAGCGGAGGAAAAGAAACUAACAAGGAUUCCCCUAGUAACUGCGAGUGAAGCGGGAAGAGCUCAAAUUUGAAAUCUGGCAGCUCUCUGAACUGUCCGAGUUGUAAUCUAGAGAAGUGUUACCUGUGCUGGACCGUGUACAAGUCUCCUGGAAUGGAGCGUCACAGAGGGUGAGAAUCCCGUCUUUGACACGGACUGCCUGCAUGUUUAUGGUGCGCUCUCAAAGAGUCGAGUUGUUUGGGAAUGCAGCUCAAAAUGGGUGGUAAAUGCCAUCUAAAGCUAAAUAUUGGCGAGAGACCGAUAGCGCACAAGUACCGUGAGGGAAAGAUGAAAAGAACUUUGGAAAGAGAGUUAAACAGUACGUGAAAUUGCUGAAAGGGAAACGCUUGGAGUCAGUCGCGUCGGCUAGAAAUCAACCUUGCUUUUGCUUGGUGUACUUUCUUGUUGAUGGGUCAGCAUCAAUUUUGACCGUUGGAUAAAGUCGUUGGGAAUGUGGCAUCUUAGGAUGUGUUAUAGCCCAUUGUCGCAUACAGCGGUGGGGAUUGAGGAACUCAGCACGCCCGCAAGCGACGGGUUUUGACCCCGGAUCGUGCUUAGGAUGCUGGCAUAAUGGCUUUAAUCGACCCGUCUUGAAACACGG
Molecule: ribosomal RNA, 662 nt
Filed under: uncultured fungus
Lineage: Eukaryota; Fungi
Description: eukaryotic LSU rRNA
Rfam family: Eukaryotic large subunit ribosomal RNA
Source: RNAcentral